This 243-nucleotide transfer RNA is filed under the name Marmota monax (woodchuck). RNAcentral's name for it is "tRNA.Ala". The record is from RNAcentral. Lineage: Eukaryota; Metazoa; Chordata; Mammalia; Rodentia; Sciuridae.
GGUCAUAGCUCAGUGGUAGAGCACUCGCUUAGCACGUUCGAGACCCUGGGUGUGAUCCUUAGCACCACAUAAAAAUAAAUAAAUAAAAUACAGGUAUUGACAACUACAACUAAAAAAUAAAUAAAUAUAUUGUGUUCAUGUACAACUUUAAAAAUAAAUUAAAAAAAGAGGGCUGGGGAUGUGGCUCAAGCAGUAGCGCACUCGCCUGGCAUGCGUGCGGCCUGGGUUCGAUCCUCAGCACCA